CGAUGAGAUAGAGGCGCAAUAUAAAAAUAGUACACUAUUGGAGUUGACUACGCAGAUAAUAGUGGAAAGGGUUAUAUUGCCGAAGUGGGUUUCAGCGUUUGUCAGCGCUUCCUUACUGGUAUAUCUUUGAAUAAGAGAUAUACUGUCAUGUCUUUCACGUGAUGAGCUGUUGAUCGA
This 177-nucleotide non-coding RNA is filed under the name Paraliobacillus sp. PM-2. RNAcentral describes it as "Lysine riboswitch aptamer". It matches the Rfam family "Lysine riboswitch aptamer". Rfam says of the family: Riboswitches are metabolite binding domains within certain messenger RNAs that serve as precision sensors for their corresponding targets. Allosteric rearrangement of mRNA structure is mediated by ligand binding, and this results in modulation of gene expression. The record is from Rfam by way of RNAcentral. RNAcentral also lists the same sequence under 1 other name. Lineage: Bacteria; Bacillati; Bacillota; Bacilli; Caryophanales; Bacillaceae.